UAGGGAAUCUUCGGCAAUGGACGGAAGUCUGACCGAGCAACGCCGCGUGAGUGAAGAAGGUUUUCGGAUCGUAAAGCUCUGUUGUAAGAGAAGAACGAGUGUGAGAGUGGAAAGUUCACACUGUGACGGUAUCUUACCAGAAAGGGACGGCUAACUACGUGCCAGCAGCCGCGGUAAUACGUAGGUCCCGAGCGUUGUCCGGACUUAUUGGGCGUAAAGCGAGCGCAGGCGGUUAGAUAAGUCUGAAGUUAAAGGCUGUGGCUUAACCAUAGUACGCUUUGGAAACUGUUUAACUUGAGUGCAAGAGGGGAGAGUGGAAUUCCAUGUGUAGCGGUGAAAUGCGUAGAUAUAUGGAGGAACACCGGUGGCGAAAGCGGCUCUCUGGCUUGUAACUGACGCUGAGGCUCGAAAGCGUGGGGAGCAAACAGGAUUAGAUACCCUGGUAGUCCACGCCGUAAACGAUGAGUGCUAGGUGUUAGACCCUUUCCGGGGUUUAGUGCCGUAGCUAACGCAUUAAGCACUCCGCCUGGGGAGUACGACCGCAAGGUUG
This 550-nucleotide ribosomal RNA is filed under the name uncultured bacterium. Its description in RNAcentral is "bacterial SSU rRNA". It matches the Rfam family "Bacterial small subunit ribosomal RNA", at positions 355 to 896 of the family's 1533-position model. The record is from RNAcentral.